Molecule: transfer RNA, 71 nt
Filed under: Bos taurus (domestic cattle)
Lineage: Eukaryota; Metazoa; Chordata; Mammalia; Artiodactyla; Bovidae
Also listed under: 5 other names
Rfam family: tRNA
About the family: Transfer RNA (tRNA) molecules are approximately 80 nucleotides in length. Their secondary structure includes four short double-helical elements and three loops (D, anti-codon, and T loops). Further hydrogen bonds mediate the characteristic L-shaped molecular structure. tRNAs have two regions of fundamental functional importance: the anti-codon, which is responsible for specific mRNA codon recognition, and the 3' end, to which the tRNAs corresponding amino acid is attached (by aminoacyl-tRNA synthetases). tRNAs cope with the degeneracy of the genetic code in two manners: having more than one tRNA (with a specific anti-codon) for a particular amino acid; and 'wobble' base-pairing, i.e. permitting non-standard base-pairing at the 3rd anti-codon position.
Source: Rfam by way of RNAcentral
UCCCCAGUGGCUCAGUGGUAAAGAAUCUGCCUGCAAUGCAGGAGACCCAGGUUCAAUCCCUGGGUCAGGAA